UCCCUGGAAGUCUAGUGGUUAAGACUCUGUGCUUUCACUGAAGGGGCACAGGUUUGAUCCCUGGUCAGGGAA
Molecule: transfer RNA, 72 nt
Filed under: Ovis aries (sheep)
Lineage: Eukaryota; Metazoa; Chordata; Mammalia; Artiodactyla; Bovidae
Rfam family: tRNA
About the family: Transfer RNA (tRNA) molecules are approximately 80 nucleotides in length. Their secondary structure includes four short double-helical elements and three loops (D, anti-codon, and T loops).
Source: Rfam by way of RNAcentral